UGCCUGAUGUUCAUAUGAUGAAAUCAUAAUCUUUCAGUCAGUUUAAUUGAAGUCUGGAGCUGGCAUGUCAGUUAACUGCUAGUAGUCUGUUGUUAUUUAUGUAUUAUUGUCAUUUUGUUUAUUUUCUUUGGUUACAUCUUCUGACAUCAGACUCGGACUUCUCUUGAACUGAAUUUUAAUGUGCGUAUUGUUAUGCGUUUACUUUUCUACAUUGGUUAGAGGUAUAGGGGGAGGGUUGAGAUCUCACAAACAUGUUUAACCCCGCCGCAUUUUUGCGCCUGUCCCAAGUCAGGAGCCUCUGGCCUUUGUUAGUCUUGUAUUAUUUUAAUUUAAGUUUCUUGUGUACAAUUUGGAAAUUAGUAUGGCGUUCAUUAUCACUGGACUAGUAUAAUUUGUUUAGGGGCCAGCUGAAGGACGCCUCCGGUGCGGGAAUUUCUCGCUACAUUGAAGACCUGUUGGUGACCCUCUGCUGUUGUUUUUUAUUUGGUCGGGUUGUUGUCUCUUUGACACAUUCCCCAUUUCCAUUCUCAAUUUUA
This 536-nucleotide long non-coding RNA is filed under the name Mytilus galloprovincialis (Mediterranean mussel). Lineage: Eukaryota; Metazoa; Mollusca; Bivalvia; Mytilida; Mytilidae. The record is from RNAcentral.